Puntigrus tetrazona (Sumatra barb) is the source of this 278-nucleotide long non-coding RNA. RefSeq lists it as uncharacterized. The record is from RefSeq and is a predicted model, not a curated record. The transcript is spliced from 3 exons. Lineage: Eukaryota; Metazoa; Chordata; Actinopteri; Cypriniformes; Cyprinidae.
UUUUCUUUUAUUAAUCCGCCUUCAAAAUAUAAUUGGGUUUUAUGAUUGACAACAUCAACUCUUCCCGUCAUCCACCUAUCAUAUAGAGACCACGACCAGCUAGUGUAGCAAACACUGAUGUGUUUGACAGGAGCAAAGGUGAAUCACUCUCUUCAUGACUUUGAUUAAAAGGCCCCAGAUGGAAGAAAGAGCAACCGAUCUCACAAACACACACGAUGUCAGUCAAGAAAACAAUGAAAGUUCAAGAGCUUGACUGAGGCCUGACCAUCAGAUUUCUC